Molecule: ribosomal RNA, 346 nt
Filed under: uncultured eukaryote
Lineage: Eukaryota
Description: SSU rRNA
Rfam family: Eukaryotic small subunit ribosomal RNA
Source: RNAcentral
AUAGCGUAUAUUAAAGUUGUUGCAGUUAAAAAGCUCGUAGUUGAACCUUGGGCCUGGCUGGCCGGUCCGCCUCACCGCGUGCACUGGUCCGGCCGGGCCUUUCCUCCUGGGGGCCCGCAUGCCCUUCACUGGGUGUGCCGGGGAACCAGGACUUUUACUUUGAAAAAAUUAGAGUGUUCAAAGCAGGCCUAUGCUCGAAUACAUUAGCAUGGAAUAAUAAAAUAGGACGUGUGGUUCUAUUUUGUUGGUUUCUAGAGCCGCCGUAAUGAUUAAUAGGGAUAGUCGGGGGCAUCAGUAUUCAAUUGUCAGAGGUGAAAUUCUUGGAUUUAUUGAAGACUAACUACUG